Non-coding RNA from Araneus ventricosus, 76 nucleotides. NCBI's taxonomy places the organism in Eukaryota, Metazoa, Arthropoda, Arachnida, Araneae, Araneidae. The record is from the annotation of a GenBank genome assembly.
GCCACCAUGAAAGCUCAGUGGUAGAGGAACUGAACUUGUAAACCAGGGGUCGUGAUUUCAAUCCUCACUGGAGGCU